CUCUAUUCCAGCAGCCGCGGUAAUACGUUCCCGGGCCUUGCUCCUCACCGCCCGUCACAUCACGAAAGUCGGUUGCACUAGAAGUCGGUGGGCCAACCCGCAAGGGAGGCAGCCGCCUAAAGUGUGAUCGGUAAUUGGGGUGAAGUCGUAACAAGGUAGCUGUAGGAGAACCUGCGGCUGGAUCACCUCCUUUCUAAGGAGCAUUCUCCGCCUCGGAUCCAAACGAGGUCGUGAAGGCGACACCGUCUAGGUGUCGACCGAGUUUGCCCUAGGUCGACAGGAAUCGCCGUACGUUGACCUGCUUGUAUUUCCUGUUCAGUUUUCAAAGAG
Molecule: unclassified non-coding RNA, 330 nt
Filed under: uncultured bacterium
Lineage: Bacteria
Description: partial contains 16S ribosomal RNA, 16S-23S ribosomal RNA intergenic spacer, and 23S ribosomal RNA
Rfam family: Bacterial small subunit ribosomal RNA (bases 1-193)
Source: RNAcentral